RNAcentral lists this long non-coding RNA (404 nucleotides) under Musa acuminata (dwarf banana). RNAcentral's name for it is "long non-coding RNA (MACU_LNC005773)". The record is from RNAcentral. Lineage: Eukaryota; Viridiplantae; Streptophyta; Magnoliopsida; Zingiberales; Musaceae.
ACUGAUACUAUACAAAACCUUUAAUCAGAACCAUCACUUAAAUUAUCACUGAAUCGAUAAAGAAUUACAUGGUUUGAAGCAUUUGGCAAUGGCCAAAACAAUUCUGAAUUGUCAACUGAUAUGCAAAAUAUUAAACACACACAUCAUGGAAGGAAAUGCAAUCUCUCCAGAAGUCUUGUUGAUAUGAUAUGGUCGGAUUUCAAUAGCGAGAAGAACGCCUGCAUCAUGUUAGAUUCAUUAGAUGAAUAAGAACUCAGAGUAUUAACAACUAAUAAGCCACCGUUAAGAAAUACAAGACAAUUGAGAUAGAAGAACAUACCAUUCAUCUUAGCACACGAAAAAAUGAUCAAAUUGCAUCUAUUAACUAAUAUUCAGAAUUUUGAAUGAAUUUAGACAAUCAAUCU